Oryza sativa Japonica Group (Japanese rice) is the source of this 412-nucleotide non-coding RNA. Lineage: Eukaryota; Viridiplantae; Streptophyta; Magnoliopsida; Poales; Poaceae. The record is from RefSeq and is a predicted model, not a curated record.
GAUGGUCAUCACCUUGCAGUUGGGUUGUUUCUCUUGUCGUCUUUUUCUGACUUCUUCUUUUCUUUUUCGCCGAAGCAGCCUUGUGGAAGUUGCUACUAGUGGAGAUAGCCAACCGGGUUCCAGCAGCUGUUCGAUCUGUGGAUCAUCAUCGUUCACAUCAGUUGCCAAUGAUUGUUUGUUCAUGUGCCACAACUAUUUAUUCUGGCUGAUUGUAUAUAUAUACAUUCAGAUGGUGGUAGAAUUGGCAGAUAAACAUUGACCAUCUAGGCAUCUAUCUAUAUAGUAGCAUAAAGUACCAAUGGAGCCUGCAAGACUGCAUCCCGAGGAUCUAUACAGAAUUCAGUUCCAGUCUGCACGAGGUGGUGAAAUAUGAGCAGGAUGGGACAGAGAAGAGAAGAUGCAAAGGUAAAGU